RNAcentral lists this ribosomal RNA (1294 nucleotides) under uncultured bacterium. RNAcentral's name for it is "bacterial SSU rRNA". It matches the Rfam family "Bacterial small subunit ribosomal RNA", at positions 66 to 1344 of the family's 1533-position model. The record is from RNAcentral.
GGGGCAGCGGGGGCGAAGCUUGCUUCGCCUGCCGGCGACCGGCGCACGGGUGAGUAACACGUAUGCGACCUGCCCCCCGCAGGGGGAUAACCGGGAGAAAUCCCGACUAAUACCGCGUAACGCCGCGGGGCUGCAUGGCCCCGCGGCCAAAGGAAGCGAUUCCGGCGGGGGAUGGGCAUGCGGCGCAUUAGCUAGUCGGCGGGGUAACGGCCCACCGAGGCGACGAUGCGUAGGGGUUCUGAGAGGAAGGUCCCCCACACUGGUACUGAGACACGGACCAGACUCCUACGGGAGGCAGCAGUGAGGAAUAUUGGUCAAUGGGCGGGAGCCUGAACCAGCCAAGUCGCGUGAGGGAGGACGGUCCUACGGAUUGUAAACCUCUUUUGCCGGGGAGCAACGGGGUCCUUGCGAGGGCCCAAUGAGAGUACCCGGAGAAAAAGCAUCGGCUAACUCCGUGCCAGCAGCCGCGGUAAUACGGAGGAUGCGAGCGUUAUCCGGAUUUAUUGGGUUUAAAGGGUGCGUAGGCGGGCUGUUAAGUCAGCGGUCAAAUGUCGGGGCUCAACCCCGGCCUGCCGUUGAAACUGGCGGCCUCGAGUGGGCGAGAAGUAUGCGGAAUGCGUGGUGUAGCGGUGAAAUGCAUAGAUAUUCACGCAGAACUCCGGAUGGGGAAGGCAGCAUACGGGCGCCUUAUUGACGCUGAGGCACGAAAAGCGGUGGGUAUUGAACAGGAUUAGAUACCCUGGUAGUCCACGCAGUAAACGAUGAAUGCUAGCUGUCCGGUUCUACGGGACUGGGUGGCACAGCGAAAGCGUUAAGCAUUCCACCUGGGGAGUACGCCGGCAACGGUGAAACUCAAAGGAAUUGACGGGGGCCCGCACAAGCGGAGGAACAUGUGGUUUAAUUCGAUGAUACGCGAGGAACCUUACCCGGGCUCAAACGCCAAAGGACAGCCGGUGAAAGCCGGCCUCCCUCCGGGGUCUUUGGCGAGGUGCUGCAUGGUUGUCGUCAGCUCGUGCCGUGAGGUGUCGGCUUAAGCGCCAUAACGAGCGCAACCCCCAUCGACAGUUGCUAACGGGUGAUGCCGAGGACUCUGUCGAGACUGCCGGCGCAAGCUGCGAGGAAGGCGGGGAUGACGUCAAAUCAGCACGGCCCUUACGUCCGGGGCGACACACGUGUUACAAUGGCCGGUACAGCGGGAUGCCAGGGCGCGAGCCCGAGCGGAACCCGAAAACCGGUCUCAGUUCGGAUUGGAGUCUGCAACCCGACUCCAUGAAGCUGGAUUCGCUAGUAAUCG